This 155-nucleotide small nuclear RNA is filed under the name Dasypus novemcinctus (nine-banded armadillo). RNAcentral's name for it is "U1 spliceosomal RNA (ENSDNOG00000028118.1)". It matches the Rfam family "U1 spliceosomal RNA". From Rfam's summary of the family: U1 is a small nuclear RNA (snRNA) component of the spliceosome (involved in pre-mRNA splicing). Its 5' end forms complementary base pairs with the 5' splice junction, thus defining the 5' donor site of an intron. There are significant differences in sequence and secondary structure between metazoan and yeast U1 snRNAs, the latter being much longer (568 nucleotides as compared to 164 nucleotides in human). The record is from RNAcentral. Lineage: Eukaryota; Metazoa; Chordata; Mammalia; Cingulata; Dasypodidae.
AUACUUACCUGGCAGGGGAGAUACUGUGAUCACGAAGGUGUUUUCCGAGUACAUCCUUGUACUCUGGAUGUGCUGACCCCUGCAAUUUCCACAAAUGUGGGAAAUUCAGCUGCAGAAUUUGUGGUAGUGGGGGACUGUGUUUGCGCUCUCUCAUG